GCAAAGGCGGGAAAGAAUGACGGACGAGUGAAUGGCUCUCGGGCACCACACGGGGAGAGAGAAACGAGCUGUUUUGUCUCGGGCACCGUUACCGUGGACACUUUCAGGAGGCUCCGAGAGCUGGGUCAGAGGCACACAGGAGUCGCCGGCCGCUGUUACCCUGGAGAGACCGCCAUUCCCCGCACCAUGCGGCCACAGUCACGCCACUCGGCCUCACCCGUCCCGCCCGCCCCUGGGCCCUGCCGGCCACCGAGGACGAGGACGGGCCCCUCACGCGGCCGCCGCAAGCUCCCCGCAAGCUCCCCGGGCAGGCGCGGCCCCAACAGGGGGAGGGAGAUCACCGUCUGCCUCCCGCUGUCCCCACCCUCCUCCCUUCCUCUCCUCUGUUCCCCUCCCUGAGCUCGCUGCCCAGAAUACAAAACCCCAGCAGUGGACCCCCGGCAGGGAGGGGCCUCCACACGCUCCCCAACCCCCCCCCCCCAUCCGCUCUUCUGGUGGCUUCUGCUCGUUGGGCCACGCGUGCAGAGCUCGGAACACACAAAAGCAGGUGGGCAGGAGGACAAUAAGAGGGACUCCACUCGGCCCGUCCCCGCCUCGGCGUGGCGCUGCGUCCCGUGCGCGUGCUCGGCAAGGCCAUGAAGGGGCAGAGGGAGGCCCCGUCCUGUGCCAGACGCGGGGGCGUGCAGUCGGGAGAGAGCCCGUGUGUGACAGCCGUGCCCCAGGGAAAGCACCUCCUGGAAGGCAGAGUCCUCCACAGCCCAGGAAGGGGAGCCUCUGGAGCUCCAGAACAUUCCGUGGCAUUCUUCUCAAACAAAAACAGGAGAAAUGUUGGGUCUCCGUCGAUUUUCUCUGGGGUCCUCCCCCACUCCCAGUCCCGCUUUUCCGCCUACAGUGCCCUGAACCUGCUCCCUGAGCUCAGGCAGUGCGGCCAGGCUCCGUGCACACUGUCCUCACAGAGCGUGUCUGAAAGGACCCGCAGGUCCCACCGAGGGGAGUCGAGGGGAGUGGAGCGGCCUGAGGGAGGCGCCUGGUCAUGCUCCGGGGCACCCCCAGCCACCUGGCCCCACCGAGUGAAACCCCCGCAUCCCCCAUUCCAAUCCGGACUCUAAGUAGUCUCCAGCCAGGCCGUCCCACCUGCACCGUCCCCCGA
RNAcentral lists this long non-coding RNA (1150 nucleotides) under Panthera leo (lion). Its description in RNAcentral is "lncRNA (ENSPLOG00000003393.1)". Lineage: Eukaryota; Metazoa; Chordata; Mammalia; Carnivora; Felidae. The record is from RNAcentral.